Molecule: ribosomal RNA, 388 nt
Filed under: uncultured Didiniidae
Lineage: Eukaryota; Ciliophora; Litostomatea; Haptorida; Didiniidae
Description: partial small subunit ribosomal RNA
Rfam family: Eukaryotic small subunit ribosomal RNA
Source: RNAcentral
GCUUGUCUCAAAGAUUAAGCCAUGCAUGUCUUAGUGUAAAUAACUCUUAUGAAACUGCGAAUGGCUCAUUAAAUCAGUUAUCGUUUAUUUGAUGGUCCCUUACUACAUGGAUAACCGUAGUAAUUCUAGAGCUAAUACAUGCUGUAAGCCUGACUUUAUGGGAAGGUUGUAUUUAUUAGAUCCCAAACCGAUAGCUUCGGCUAUUGUGACGAAUCAUAAUAACUUGUCGGAUCGGGUAUUACUCGAUGGAUCAUUCAAGUUUCUGCCCUAUCAGCUUUCGAUGGUAGUGUAUUGGACUACCAUGGCGAUAACGGGUAACGGGGAAUUAGGGUUCGAUUCCGGAGAGGGAGCCUGAGAAACGGCUACCACUUCUAAGGAAGGCAGCAGG